RNAcentral lists this ribosomal RNA (254 nucleotides) under uncultured bacterium. Its description in RNAcentral is "partial 16S ribosomal RNA". It matches the Rfam family "Bacterial small subunit ribosomal RNA", at positions 524 to 777 of the family's 1533-position model. The record is from RNAcentral.
UACAGAGGCCCCAAGCGUUACUGAGAAUCACUGGGUUUAAAGGGUGCGUAGGUGGCGCGUUAAGUCCGUUGUGAAAGCCCUGGGCUCAACCCAGGAACUGCUUCGGAUACUGGCGCGCUUGAGGCUAGUAGAGGUCACUGGAACUGACGGUGGAGCGGUGAAAUGCGUAGAUAUCGUCAGGAACGCCAAUGGUGAAGACAGGUGACUGGGCUAGUUCUGACACUGAGGCACGAAAGCGUGGGGAGCGAACGGGG